RNAcentral lists this ribosomal RNA (1087 nucleotides) under uncultured beta proteobacterium. Its description in RNAcentral is "bacterial SSU rRNA". The stretch from base 199 to 1087 matches the Rfam family "Bacterial small subunit ribosomal RNA", at positions 1 to 896 of the family's 1533-position model. Lineage: Bacteria; Pseudomonadati; Pseudomonadota; Betaproteobacteria. The record is from RNAcentral.
AUUGAACGCUGGCGGAAUGCUUUACACAUGCAAGUCGAACGGUAGAGGGGGCAACCCCUCGAGAGUGGCGAACGGGUGAGUAAUAUAUCGGAACGUGCCCAGUCGUGGGGGAAACGUAGCGAAAGUUACGCUAAUACCGCAUACGAUCUAAGGAUGAAAGCGGGGGAUCGCAAGAGCCUCGCGCGAUUGGAGCGGCCGAUAUCAGAUUAGGUAGUUGGUGGGGAUUGAACGCUGGCGGAAUGCUUUACACAUGCAAGUCGAACGGUAGAGGGGGCAACCCCUCGAGAGUGGCGAACGGGUGAGUAAUAUAUCGGAACGUGCCCAGUCGUGGGGGAAACGUAGCGAAAGUUACGCUAAUACCGCAUACGAUCUAAGGAUGAAAGCGGGGGAUCGCAAGAGCCUCGCGCGAUUGGAGCGGCCGAUAUCAGAUUAGGUAGUUGGUGGGGUAAAGGCUCACCAAGCCAACGAUCUGUAGCUGGUCUGAGAGGACGACCAGCCACACUGGAACUGAGACACGGUCCAGACUCCUACGGGAGGCAGCAGUGGGGAAUUUUGGACAAUGGACGCAAGUCUGAUCCAGCCAUUCCGCGUGCAGGAUGAAGGCCCUCGGGUUGUAAACUGCUUUUGUACGGAACGAAAAGGUUUCUAUUAAUACUAGGAGCUCAUGACGGUACCGUAAGAAUAAGCACCGGCUAACUACGUGCCAGCAGCCGCGGUAAUACGUAGGGUGCAAGCGUUAAUCGGAAUUACUGGGCGUAAAGCGUGCGCAGGCGGUUAUGUAAGACAGAGGUGAAUCCCCGGGCUCAACCUGGGAACUGCCUUUGUGAUGCUAGCUAGAGUACGGUAGAGGGGGAUGGAAUUCCGCGUGUAGCAGUGAAAUGCGUAGAUAUGCGGAGGAACACCGAUGGCGAAGGCAUCCCCUGGACCUGUACUGACGCUCAUGCACGAAAGCGUGGGGAGCAAACAGGAUUAGAUACCCUGGUAGUCCACGCCCUAAACGAUGUCAACUGGUUGUUGGGUCUUCACUGACUCAGUAACGAAGCUAACGCGUGAAGUUGACCGCCUGGGGAGUACGGCCGCAAGGUUG